GAUGAACGCUGGCGGCGUGCCUAAUACAUGCAAGUCGAGCGAACGGACGAGAAGCUUGCUUUUCUGAUGUUAGCGGCGGACGGGUGAGUAACACGUGGAUAACCUACCUAUAAGACUGGGAUAACUUCGGGAAACCGGAGCUAAUACCGGAUAAUAUUUUGAACCGCAUGGUUCAAAAGUGAAAGACGGUCUUGCUGUCACUUAUAGAUGGAUCCGCGCUGCAUUAGCUAGUUGGUAAGGUAACGGCUUACCAAGGCAACGAUGCAUAGCCGACCUGAGAGGGUGAUCGGCCACACUGGAACUGAGACACGGUCCAGACUCCUACGGGAGACAGCAGUAGGGAAUCUGCCGCAAUGGGCGAAAGCCUGACGGAGCAACGCCGCGUGAGUGAUGAAGGUCUUCGGAUCGUAAAACUCUGUUAUUAGGGAAGAACAUAUGUGUAAGUAACUGUGCACAUCUUGACGGUACCUAAUCAGAAAGCCACGGCUAACUACGUG
Molecule: ribosomal RNA, 497 nt
Filed under: uncultured bacterium
Lineage: Bacteria
Description: partial 16S ribosomal RNA
Rfam family: Bacterial small subunit ribosomal RNA
Source: RNAcentral